Long non-coding RNA from Lathyrus oleraceus (garden pea), 1087 nucleotides. RefSeq lists it as uncharacterized. NCBI's taxonomy places the organism in Eukaryota, Viridiplantae, Streptophyta, Magnoliopsida, Fabales, Fabaceae. The transcript is spliced from 4 exons. The record is from RefSeq and is a predicted model, not a curated record.
UAAUAUCUAUUCAUGUGCUGUCUCCUCAUUUCCCAACCAAAAAAAAAACAAACAAGCCUCUCUUCUUCUUCUUCAAGGAGAUCUCACACUACAAACUACAAACCAUUGUUAUCACUUACUUAUGAGGAAUGAUCAAAGAACUGUGAUCCAAAAUUAGAGACAGAAAGAGAGAGAUAGUGACUUUUAUUUUUUUAUAUAUAUUGUUUUUCAUUUUCAUCAAUUUUUUUAUUUAAAAAAGAAAGAAAGAAAGUUGUUGUUCUGUUUCUGUUUUUGGUUGGGGAUCUUUGGCUUGGGAUUGAUUGAUGAAGUCAAGGGACAUCUCAAAUUUGCAAUGAAUUAGACUCAAAUUAGGCUUUUCUUAGUUAGUUGGAAGCAAUGUUUGGAACAUGGAACCCUAGAUCUGAACCAUAUAGCCAGCUUCUCUUUGAAUGUUAAAAUAAACAGCAGCAGCUGGCAAUCCCAAGUUGUAAAGUUCUGCAAAUUCUUUUGUGUUGAAAUUUUGUCGCCAUCCCGGAGCAUACACCGUCUCUCUACCGAGUUGACGAAAAACCGCAAACACGAUUCGAUGAAUCCCCAUCAACGGUCGUGGACUCUCAUAAGAAUCAGUGGGAUUUUGAGCCAAAGGCAAGAUAAAAUGAUGAAGAAAGGAACAAAAAUGUAAAAGUGGUAGAAAGUUGGGACUUAUAGAAAAUAAGAGAAGAAAAAGAAACAUUUGCCACUGAAAUUCUCGCGACUGUGAUGCUCUCAUCGUGGUUUUGGUGAAGCAAUAUCGUAAUGAAUCUAAUGCAGCGUGAUGACGCAAAAUUUCGACAUGCUUUUUGCAGCUUUAAAUAGAAAAAGGUGGAGACUUUUUUAGGGUUCCAAAUUUUAGAGAGAAAGUGACGCCCGGGCUUUUGUGGGCGAUUUCAGAGAGCAUUUGAGCCAUUGAAGAGGAUAUUUUCCAUUAAUUUUGAUGUAUUCUUCUUAUCAACCCAAGAUAAUUAUUAAUUGCACUAUUAAUGGCUAAGUUCUUUUAGAUUAAGUCAUUUUAUGAUGAACCUAAUUAUACUCUAUUGGAUCAUAUGAAUGUUUGAGGUUAUUUGAUUUA